GGCUCAGGACGAACGCUGGCGGCGUGCUUAACACAUGCAAGUCGAGCGGUAAGGCCCUUCGGGGUACACGAGCGGCGAACGGGUGAGUAACACGUGGGUGAUCUGCCUCGUACUCUGGGAUAAGCCUGGGAAACUGGGUCUAAUACCGGAUAUGACCACGAAUCGCAUGGUUUGUGGUGGAAAGAUUUAUCGGUGCGAGAUGGGCCCGCGGCCUAUCAGCUUGUUGGUGGGGUAAUGGCCUACCAAGGCGACGACGGGUAGCCGGCCUGAGAGGGCGACCGGCCACACUGGGACUGAGACACGGCCCAGACUCCUACGGGAGGCAGCAGUGGGGAAUAUUGCACAAUGGGCGGAAGCCUGAUGCAGCGACGCCGCGUGAGGGAUGACGGCCUUCGGGUUGUAAACCUCUUUCGACAGGGACGAAGCGCAAGUGACGGUACCUGUAGAAGAAGCACCGGCCAACUACGUGCCAGCAGCCGCGGUAAUACGUAGGGUGCGAGCGUUGUCCGGAAUUACUGGGCGUAAAGAGCUUGUAGGCGGUUCGUCGCGUCGAUCGUGAAAACGUGCAGCUCAACUGCACGCUUGCGGUCGAUACGGGCGGACUAGAGUACUGCAGGGGAGACUGGAAUUCCUGGUGUAGCGGUGAAAUGCGCAGAUAUCAGGAGGAACACCGGUGGCGAAGGCGGGUCUCUGGGCAGUAACUGACGCUAGAAGCGAA
This 718-nucleotide ribosomal RNA is filed under the name Nocardia elegans. RNAcentral describes it as "bacterial SSU rRNA". It matches the Rfam family "Bacterial small subunit ribosomal RNA", at positions 21 to 757 of the family's 1533-position model. Lineage: Bacteria; Bacillati; Actinomycetota; Actinomycetes; Mycobacteriales; Nocardiaceae. The record is from RNAcentral.